RNAcentral lists this ribosomal RNA (160 nucleotides) under Convolvulus scammonia. RNAcentral's name for it is "5.8S ribosomal RNA". It matches the Rfam family "5.8S ribosomal RNA". Rfam says of the family: 5.8S ribosomal RNA (5.8S rRNA) is a component of the large subunit of the eukaryotic ribosome. Lineage: Eukaryota; Viridiplantae; Streptophyta; Magnoliopsida; Solanales; Convolvulaceae. The record is from RNAcentral.
AUGACUCUCGGCAACGGAUAUCUCGGCUCUCGCAUCGAUGAAGAACGUAGCGAAAUGCGAUACUUGGUGUGAAUUGCAGAAUCCCGUGAACCAUCGAGUCUUUGAACGCAAGUUGCGCCCGAAGCCGUCAGGUUGAGGGCACGUCUGCCUGGGCGUCACG